UACGAUGUUAUCACAAUGAAAACACCGGUUCUCGUUCGAUCAAUGUAGUUAAACUGUCGUCGAGCAGGGUCACUACUUGGAUGGGGGACUGCUUGAGAACACCCGGUACUGUAAG
Non-coding RNA from Acanthosepion pharaonis, 115 nucleotides. NCBI's taxonomy places the organism in Eukaryota, Metazoa, Mollusca, Cephalopoda, Sepiida, Sepiidae. The record is from the annotation of a GenBank genome assembly.